Molecule: ribosomal RNA, 443 nt
Filed under: uncultured bacterium
Lineage: Bacteria
Description: partial 16S ribosomal RNA
Rfam family: Bacterial small subunit ribosomal RNA
Source: RNAcentral
CCUACGGGAGGCAGCAGUGGGGAAUAUUGCACAAUGGGCGAAAGCCUGAUGCAGCAACGCCGCGUGAAGGAAGAAGGGCUUCGGCUCGUAAACUUCUAUCAACAGGGACGAAAAAAAUGACGGUACUUGAAUAAGAAGCCCCGGCUAACUAUGUGCCAGCAGUCGCGGUAAGACGUAGGGGGCAAGCGUUGUUCGGAAUUACUGGGUGUAAAGGGUGAGUAGGCGGCAUGGUAAGCCAGAUGUGAAAGCCUUGGGCUUAACCCGAGGAUUGCAUUUGGAACUAGCAAGCUAGAGUACAGGAGAGGUAAGCGGAAUUCCUAGUGUAGCGGUGAAAUGCGUAGAUAUUAGGAAGAACACCAGUGGCGAAGGCGGCUUUCUGGACUGAAACUGACGCUGAGGCACGAAAGCGUGGGGAGCAAACAGGAUUAGAUACCCUAGUAGUC